Camellia sinensis is the source of this 2840-nucleotide non-coding RNA. Lineage: Eukaryota; Viridiplantae; Streptophyta; Magnoliopsida; Ericales; Theaceae. The record is from RefSeq and is a predicted model, not a curated record.
UUAACAUAAUAAUUUCAUACAAAACCAAUAAUGAUACAAGCUACCGGUGACAUUCAUACACCAGCUAUAUAUAAAAUCAAAAGACUUGAAAAAUUCACUAGAAUAAAUCAACCUCAACAAGAGCAAUCAUAGUUGCAGCCAUCAUUAUAAAAGCAUCCGUAGCAUUUACAAUGGGAGUCCUCCAUUGCCAUGGAUAUGGAAACCUUAUCCUGCAUGUUGAGAAGUAACAGAAUCCCUUAUAACAAGUGAAGCAUAAAACUAAAGUUGGCAGGAGAAAAUCAUUUGCAGUGCUUAAAUAAUGUCCAUGUCCCCCAAGAGCAUGAUAUGAAACAGAUAAUUUAUCUUUUGAUGUUAGAAUUAUGCAUGAGUCUACCUUGACCAAAUGCAGAAUGAAGAAAAAUGGUGUAAGUUAAAUAAAGGGACACUUACCAAUCAAUCGUAUUAGUCCCAAAAGUAGAACAUAUUGGCAAUUAGUCCUAAAAGUAGGACCUAUUGGUAAGUUACCAUUAAAUAAAUUAGAAAGUCAGAAAUCAAGAAUAUUGUGCUUCAAAUUCCAAAAUUUAAGACUAGCUUAAGGUGUCGUAGUACUAAAAGAAGAAGGAGAAGUACAGAGAAAUAAAGAGAGAGCACUUUUCGGGAUGAAAUGCUAGUUUCGACAAUUAUCAUAUUCAUAACAUAACUUUACUAACAAGUUAAUUUUCAACCAAAUCUUAUUUGAUCAUAACAGAAGUAGAUACACAGAGAGUGAACAACACAGCCAAUGCCCCUAGUAAGGCUUUUCUACCCUAUAUUAGUAUUGGUACCAUCACUCCUGCUCCAAUUGUUUCCCUUAUUUUUUUUUCCAAUUAGGAGAAACUUAGAUGCAUGGAGGAAAAAAUAAACGACAAACAAAACAUUUUAAUAAACCACACGCAACAACAAAAACACAUAAAAAGAAGGAAAUUAUUCAGUUUUAUUCCUUUACACAUUUGGUUACUGCAGCAAAGACAGAUUAGUACAAAAUUAAUCAUACAUGAAAUUUUGUUAAUACCACUUUACAGGCCUUAUUAACACUGAAGAGAGUUUAUUAUUUUUUUGAAAAACACAAGUCUUGAAGUUACUAAAUGUUAGAUUCCUGGUGCCCACGUUGCAAAACAACUUGACAUGAAAUCCAUCAACACAUGCCUAGAUAUCCUUGAUUCGUAGAACUGAAUGAGCAUUUUAAGUUUUUAGUAUCCAAGCAAAAUCAACUAGAAUAACUGAAAAUACUUCAUAGCAUACACUUACCAUGCCAUAACUUAUUGUCAAACUGGGUUUUAGGAACGAAAAUACUAAACUGAAAAGUAGAAACAAAAUCAAAAUUCAAUCUAAUGUACCAUUAAGAGUAAUGGCAAUGCAUCAAGAGCAGUUUUAAGAAGAAUAAUGCUUCUAAUCAAAAAUCAACCUAAUGCACCUAUAAGAAUAAUAUUCAUUAUUUUGUAAAAAAUGCACAUGUAGAGUGCAUGACCUUCCCAACUACUACUUACAGAACACUAGAGUGGAUGGAAUGCAGUAUACAAAGAUGCAGCAUGUCCACUUUAUGUGCUGAUCUUUUAUGAAUUUGUGAUGUGAAACUACUGGGGAUAUAUUGAUUCUUCUUCUGUUUAGUUUAUUUUUUAAAUGAUGUGAAUUGUCUUUCUCUUCCUAGAUACAUUCUUCAUGGAAUUACAUAAUAUGUUCCCUUCCUUGUUAAUAUAACUGCAAUGUCGUACUUGCUGUGGACAAUCUUGAAUUGUUCAACCGGAUUGCAGAAACAUUUUGUUCCCAGGCAGCUACAAAAUUGGUCAUACUACUUUGGAAGGAGAAAUCAAGCCUGAUUAGCAAAGUGCUGGAGGGAUUGUCUGUUUACAAUUACAAGGAGAUCAUAGAUUUGGGAUGUGAGAGUCGUAUGCCUUUGCUUGAGUCUCAUGAUGCUAGGCAGCACUAUACUUAUGAAGCCAUCAGCUCUGAUGAUGUUGCCACACUUGUAUACACUAGUGGAACUAUUGGCAAUCCAAAAGGUGUUAUGCUUACACAUAAGAAUCUGUUGCACCAGGUCUGAGUGUUUUCUACUUUUUAAAAGUUCUCUUAACAUAUUUGCUUGAGGUUUGUCUUCUGAUGUAAAUCUCUAACUUAUUUAAGAAAAUUGAAGGCUGGAGUUUCUGGUGUUUUUUUUUUUCAAGUGGAUAUUUGAAUUUCUGAACUUUUUCCUGCAAUAUUCAUCCAGAUGGGAAAUGAUGUUUUUGCCUUUAUCAUUGUGCCGCCCAUUUGUAUGGUGUACUAUGUUAUCUAUGGGGUAGCAUAUUUGACCCGAAAUGCAAAUUUUUGUAUUCUCCUACUCAUGGUAUUUUUACCGAAAUUUCAAUUUGUAUUCAUUUCCCAUUACUUCCAGCAACCAAACGAAUCAAACUGAAAUGUUAUGGAAUAAGACACAAAUAAUUAUUAAAGAAAGAAAAUUAGAGGGUUUUUAAAACCAAACCCGGUCAAAAGAACUUCAGCAGCAUCCUUUUGUCAAUCGUACACCACCCUCCUUUUUUUUUUUCUCAAACGCAAUUCAACUCUUUUGCCCUUGGUAGGGAAAAGAAGGAGAAAUAGAAAAUCGAGAUAGAUAUACAGGUCAACCAACGAAAAAAAAUUAAUUAAUAGUAGUAGUGAAUAAAAAUUUGAGACAAAUUGAUUGAUUGAAUAGCAAAGUAGAACAGCGAAGUGAGAGUGACAUUUGGUAUCACUAUGAUGCAGCGAACCUCAAAUAAUUCAGACAUUCCAAGCUAUGCUAGCAAAAAAUAUUUAGAAAGGUGUAAGGAAAAUGCAGCAAUUGAGUUGUAAUACAUGAACAAAAUAAA